This 230-nucleotide ribosomal RNA is filed under the name uncultured bacterium. RNAcentral's name for it is "partial 16S ribosomal RNA". It matches the Rfam family "Bacterial small subunit ribosomal RNA", at positions 118 to 347 of the family's 1533-position model. The record is from RNAcentral.
UGGGCAACCUGCCCCAGACUCAGGGAUAACCCCGGGAAACCGGGGCUAAUACCCGAUACUCCGAUCGAACCACAUGGCUCGAUCGGGAAAGCUCCGACGGUCUGGGAUGGGCCCGCGGCCUAUCAGCUUGUUGGUGGGGUAACGGCCUACCAAGGCGACGACGGGUAGCUGGUCUGAGAGGACGACCAGCCACACUGGAACUGAGACCUAGGUCCAGACUCCUACGGGAG